This 481-nucleotide ribosomal RNA is filed under the name uncultured bacterium. Its description in RNAcentral is "partial 16S ribosomal RNA". It matches the Rfam family "Bacterial small subunit ribosomal RNA", at positions 28 to 507 of the family's 1533-position model. The record is from RNAcentral.
GAUGAACGCUGGCGGCGUGCUUAACACAUGCAAGUCGAACGAAGCACUUUAUUUGAUUUCCUUCGGGACUGAUUAUUUUGUGACUGAGUGGCGGACGGGUGAGUAACGCGUGGGUAACCUGCCUUGUACAGGGGGAUAACAGUUGGAAACGGCUGCUAAUACCGCAUAAGCGCACAGCAUCGCAUGAUGCAGUGUGAAAAACUCCGGUGGUAUAAGAUGGACCCGCGUUGGAUUAGCUAGUUGGUGAGGUAACGGCCCACCAAGGCGACGAUCCAUAGCCGACCUGGGAGGGGGACCGGCCACAUUGGGACUGAGACACGGCCCAAACUCCUACGGGAGGCAGCAGUGGGGAAUAUUGCACAAUGGGCGAAAGCCUGAUGCAGCGACGCCGCGUGAGCGAAGAAGUAUUUCGGUAUGUAAAGCUCUAUCAGCAGGGAAGAUAAUGACGGUACCUGACUAAGAAGCACCGGCUAAAUACGUG